GAUUACUUCACCCUUAAGUCCAAGCCAUCUGCUCAGGGUUUGGUUUUCUGGACUCUCAACCAUUCUAUCCACUGGCAUUAUUAGCCAAUUGUUGCACAUCUACAGCUUAUUUACUAUGCUGUCAGCCACACAAGUGCCCCUGUUGAGCCUUAAUUAUUUUGUGUUGAGUGCGAAUGCAGUAGGUGGCAACGGAGAUAUAAGAUUAUGAAGACUUCUAUUACAAUCCUAGAUGUGUAGACUAGA
Molecule: non-coding RNA, 243 nt
Organism: Pelobates cultripes (western spadefoot toad)
Lineage: Eukaryota; Metazoa; Chordata; Amphibia; Anura; Pelobatidae
Source: the annotation of a GenBank genome assembly